UAAGCAUAUAAUUAAGCGGAGGAAAAGAAACUAACCAGGAUUCCCUCAGUAAGGGCGACUGAAGCGGGAAGAGCUCAGGAUGUGAAUCUGCGCCUUGGUGCGCCGAAUUGUGGUCUGUUGACGGUGACAUUACUGGCCGGGCCAAGUCCUUUGGAACAAGGCAGCUGAGAGGGUGAGACUCCCGUUCGCCUGGCCAGGUGAGUUACUAGUCUACGAGUCGAGUUGUUUGGGAUUGCAGCUCUAAGUGGGUGGUAAAUUCCAUCUAAAGCUAAAUAUUGGUGGGAGACCGAUAGCGUACAAGUACCGUGAGGGAAAGAUGCAAAGAACUUUGAAAAGAGAGUUAAAGAGUACCUGAAAUUGCUGAAAAGGAAGCGAAGGAAACCAGUGUCGGCUCAGUCAUAUUUCCCUGUCCGCUUGCGGUUUGGGCGCUGUGUCUGGCCUAUGUCGUCUUUGGUUGGGUUUGCUGGAAGAGCGCAGUGAGAGUUGAUCGCUGUUGCUAGCAGUAGGCCUGACUGAGGAGGACGAAAUGGUUUUCUUUACCCCGUCUUG
RNAcentral lists this ribosomal RNA (549 nucleotides) under Nitzschia palea. Its description in RNAcentral is "eukaryotic LSU rRNA". It matches the Rfam family "Eukaryotic large subunit ribosomal RNA", at positions 35 to 656 of the family's 3401-position model. Lineage: Eukaryota; Bacillariophyta; Bacillariophyceae; Bacillariales; Bacillariaceae. The record is from RNAcentral.